AUAAGACCUGGGAUAACUUCGGGAAACCGGAGCUAAUACCGGAUAAUCAUUUUGGAACCGCAUGGUUCAAAAGUGAAAGACGGUCUUGCUGUCACUUAUAGAUGGAUCCGCGCUGCAUUAGCUAGUUGGUAAGGUAACGGCUUACCAAGGCAACGAUGCAUAGCCGACCUGAGAGGGUGAUCGGCCACACUGGAACUGAGACACGGUCCAGACUCCUACGGGAGGCAGCAGUAGGGAAUCUUCCGCAAUGGGCGAAAGCCUGACGGAGCAACGCCGCGUGAGUGAUGAAGGUCUUCGGAUCGUAAAACUCUGUUAUUAGGGAAGAACAUAUGUGUAAGUAACUGUGCACAUCUUGACGGUACCUAAUCAGAAAGCCACGGCUAACUACGUGCCAGCAGCCGCGGUAAUACGUAGGUGGCAAGCGUUAUCCGGAAUUAUUGGGCGUAAAGCGCGCGUAGGCGGUUUUUUAAGUCUGAUGUGAAAGCCCACGGCUCAACCGUGGAGGGUCAUUGGAAACUGGAAAACUUGAGUGCAGAAGAGGCAAGUGGAAUUCCAUGUGUAGCGGUGAAAUGCGCAGAGAUAUGGAGGAACACCAGUGGCGAAGGCGACUUUCUGGUCUGUAACUGACGCUGAUGUGCGAAAGCGUGGGGAUCAAACGGGAUUAGAUACCUGGUAGUCCACGCCGUAAACGAUG
RNAcentral lists this ribosomal RNA (694 nucleotides) under uncultured Staphylococcus sp. RNAcentral's name for it is "bacterial SSU rRNA". It matches the Rfam family "Bacterial small subunit ribosomal RNA", at positions 132 to 811 of the family's 1533-position model. Lineage: Bacteria; Bacillati; Bacillota; Bacilli; Caryophanales; Staphylococcaceae. The record is from RNAcentral.